UGGGGAAUAUUGGACAAUGGGCGCAAGCCUGAUCCAGCCAUGCCGCGUGAGUGAUGAAGGCCUUAGGGUUGUAAAGCUCUUUCACCGGGGAAGAUAAUGACGGUACCCGGAGAAGAAGCCCCGGCUAACUUCGUGCCAGCAGCCGCGGUAAUACGAAGGGGGCUAGCGUUGUUCGGAAUUACUGGGCGUAAAGCGCACGUAGGCGGACAUUUAAGUCAGGGGUGAAAUCCCGGGGCUCAACCCCGGAACUGCCUUUGAUACUGGGUGUCUUGAGUGUGGAAGAGGUCAGUGGAAUUGCGAGUGUAGAGGUGAAAUUCGUAGAUAUUCGCAGGAACACCAGUGGCGAAGGCGGCUGACUGGUCCACAACUGACGCUGAGGUGCGAAAGCGUGGGGAGCAAACA
This 402-nucleotide ribosomal RNA is filed under the name uncultured Agrobacterium sp. RNAcentral's name for it is "bacterial SSU rRNA". It matches the Rfam family "Bacterial small subunit ribosomal RNA", at positions 355 to 774 of the family's 1533-position model. Lineage: Bacteria; Pseudomonadati; Pseudomonadota; Alphaproteobacteria; Hyphomicrobiales; Rhizobiaceae. The record is from RNAcentral.